Long non-coding RNA from Gymnogyps californianus (California condor), 1082 nucleotides. RefSeq lists it as uncharacterized. NCBI's taxonomy places the organism in Eukaryota, Metazoa, Chordata, Aves, Accipitriformes, Cathartidae. The transcript has 5 exons. The record is from RefSeq and is a predicted model, not a curated record.
UGCAUCAUUUUUUAAAGCUGUUGGACAGAGGAAAGCUUUGUUGUUUGAGGUUCAUCUCUAAUAGAACCAAUCGUAGGGGGUGAAAGGACAGAGUUAGUCCUCAGAUACAGAGAUCAGGUCUGACUCCUGGAAGACCAGGGAUAUUGUGGAAAACACAGAACUGGGUGGAGAGAGACUGCAAAAAUGAGACUGGUUUUAACCAUGGUGAACAAAUGGCUUAAGACAGGUCUGUAGAUCAACUCAUUUAGAUGGCAAAACCAGACAAGUGUUCAGGCACAAAAGCCUGCCUUCAGGGAUGAAAUUGGAACAAACUUCAAGGCAGAUACAGUCCGUGAUGUUUCUGCUGACAGAGAACAAUUUUCGACCCAUCUGUUCAAGCAGCAAGAGACCUUUCUUAUAACUUUAGGUGGUCACGGAUUGCCGUGCUCAGCCUGUGAAGGGCAGUGUGACCAGAGGGGGGAAAAGACUUUCCCGGAGACGCACAGCGCCGGCACAGAUAGCCCAGCUCCUCACUCAGAACGCUUUAUUUCUCCCAUUUGUCAGUUUGUGCUGCUUUGACUGCAUCCUCUAUCCAAUAAUCAUGGGAACUAAACCUCUCUCUCUGAAGGCAUGUCUAUCCCAUCCCCGGUUUUGAGGUAAUAUUACUGAAACUCGGAGGAGGCGAAGACCACAGAGAGGUUUGCUGAGUGUGCUGCUGUCAGCCGGCUUCUGGUUUUGUACACUUUGAUUCAGUUUGGUAGGCAGCUUAGCAAAUCUCCACGGCAACCCCAUGUGUACCAUAAAAUUGUGAAUUAUCUUGUUUAGAAGAGGUUCAUUAGGAAGAUUAAUGAGGUAUUAUUUUUCUCUCAUUCAAUGUCCUGAUACAGAGGGGGCACAGUAAUUUUCCCAGCUGUGCACAGCAGCAAUUGGUCCUCCCCAGGGUCCCCAGCAUCACUGCACUGUGAUCAGUUAAACUGCUCAGCCUUUGGAAGUGUUAUUUGUCAGCUUAAUUAGCCCUAAAGGAAGCACUUGUUUUAAAAUAAGACAACAGUUUUGUUUUUCAGUAUGAGAAGGACAUAAUGUUGUUCGCAGUGGCAACUUGU